RNAcentral lists this long non-coding RNA (263 nucleotides) under Glycine max (soybean). Its description in RNAcentral is "long non-coding RNA (GMAX_LNC001994)". The record is from RNAcentral. Lineage: Eukaryota; Viridiplantae; Streptophyta; Magnoliopsida; Fabales; Fabaceae.
CUUUUGACUUGCAACUUCCACCCCUUUCUCACACUGUAACUUUUGUCGUCACUGUAGCAACAUAUUGAAGUCGCCAUCGACGACAACAUCUCCAAGUAAAAAAGGGGUUGUGUUUUUUUAUUUGAGAAAGGGACAAUUAGCGAUUUCUAGAUCUAAAAAAAGAGUGGUUACAGUGUUGUCGCCGUCGUUGGCUUGGAAGGGAGAGUAGUUGUCGCCGCCGUCGUUGCGGUGGUUAUAAAUUUGUUGUUGCCUUUGGCUUGGAA